UGAGUAACGCGUGAGGAUCUGCCCUUAGGAGGGGAACAACAGUUGGAAACGACUGCUAAUGCCCCAUAUGCCGAGAGGUGAAAAGUUUUAUCGCCUGAGGAUGAACUCGCGUCUGAUUAGCUAGUUGGUGGGGUAAAGGCCCACCAAGGCGACGAUCAGUAGCUGGUCUAAGAGGAUGAUCAGCCACACUGGGACUGAGACACGGCCCAGACUCCUACGGGAGGCAGCAUU
This 231-nucleotide ribosomal RNA is filed under the name uncultured cyanobacterium. Its description in RNAcentral is "partial 16S ribosomal RNA". It matches the Rfam family "Bacterial small subunit ribosomal RNA", at positions 107 to 353 of the family's 1533-position model. Lineage: Bacteria; Bacillati; Cyanobacteriota. The record is from RNAcentral.